GCAAGUCGAACGAGAAAGUACCCUUCGGGGUGCGAGUAAAGUGGCGAACUGGUGAGUAACGGGUGGAUAACGUGCCUCUGAGUGGGGAAUAACCAUUGGAAACAAUGGGUAAUACCGCAUGUGGCCCUUCGGGGUUAAAGACUUCGGUCGCUCAGAGAUCGGUCCGCUCCUGAUUAGCUUGUUGGCGGGGUAACGGCCCACCAAGGCUACGAUCAGUAGGUGGUCUGAGAGGAUGGUC
Molecule: ribosomal RNA, 238 nt
Filed under: uncultured bacterium
Lineage: Bacteria
Description: partial 16S ribosomal RNA
Rfam family: Bacterial small subunit ribosomal RNA
Source: RNAcentral